GAGAGAUUUUCAUUAACAGGAUCGGGCAGGACCAUCUGUGUAUUUAGUGGAAAGUUUGCCACCAGCAGCGAGCAAGUGAGUUUACAACUUGGAGACAAUAGCCGAGGGGGGCAGGGUUUCAACUGUCUUCAGGCUGCCGGGGAGGGUGGGAGGCGCAGAGUCCAGAAGGCAGGGCUGGCUGGGCCUCCGGCAGCCCUCAGAGCUGCUCGGCCGGCUCCCCUCCCCUCCGGUUUCCCCCUGCCCAGACUAAUGAUAACCAAGCCAGGGAACUUUCCAGAACAAUUGGUAGUGAGACAUCUCUCCUGCCAGCUGGCAGCGCAUCCUCAGACAAGUCAGUGCACCUCUCUGAGCCCCAGCAUUCUGGAGAAGUAACGGCUGGUGGGCUCGCAGGGCACCCGGGCCGAGGAGGGCAUUUAGCCACGAUGGAAGGUUCCAGAGGAUGAGGCGCUCCGCCUUCACACUGCUUCUGAGUCAUCUCCCCUGUGGCAGAACACCCCUGCCGGCAAGCUUCAAGUGUAGAAUUACGCAAUUUGUAAUUAAAGCAACGCAAGUCGAUGGGCAGGGACGUUGCCAAGUGAACCACACAGCCGCUGGGGCUCUCCGGCUGCUCGGGUGGCAGCCCGAGGGGGGCUGGCGGGCCCCGGUGAGGUGGGGUAGGGGCCCGUGGGAAGCCAGUGGAAGCAGAGAACCUCGUGCAUCCAGCAGACGUGUUCACCAUGCUGCCAAGGAGAAUCACCGCGUGUAGCUGAGACGGGCAACUCUGCGGGACCCGGCCCGGCGUCAGACUCUGUCCCCCGGUGGUGGGAAUUCACAGCCGAGCAGCGGGGCGUGGGGCCGUGUGGGUCACUCUUCUGCUCAAGGAUAGAAAGCAGAGGCACCACGGCCCGCGCCUUCGGGAAUCCUACAGCUAAUGUGGGGGAAAGAACAACCCGGAGCAAACUCGGAGAGCCUUUGCAGGGCCACACACAGGCAGGGGUGCCCCGCUCGGAUGAAACAGCAG
This 1000-nucleotide long non-coding RNA is filed under the name Ailuropoda melanoleuca (giant panda). RNAcentral's name for it is "lncRNA (ENSAMEG00000030357.1)". Lineage: Eukaryota; Metazoa; Chordata; Mammalia; Carnivora; Ursidae. The record is from RNAcentral.